Long non-coding RNA from Notothenia coriiceps (black rockcod), 504 nucleotides. RefSeq lists it as uncharacterized. The record is from RefSeq and is a predicted model, not a curated record. The transcript is spliced from 3 exons. Lineage: Eukaryota; Metazoa; Chordata; Actinopteri; Perciformes; Nototheniidae.
CAUAGAUUGUAGUGAGAUGUUCACCUUCUUUGAUUAUAUUCCGUUAUAUCAAUCUCCUAACUUCCUAUUCUGUUGUAGCAACGGAAAGGAUCUAGAUCAAGUAUUCUGAUUGGCUGAGUUGGAAAUGUGUUGCACUGAUUGUAUUAACUUGUGAUUGUCCUUUUCAGAUCAUGCUCUCCGUCUAUGGAACAUACAGACGGACACGUUAGUGGCCAUAUUUGGCGGUGUGGAAGGGCAUCGAGAUGAAGUCCUGAGUGCUGACUUUGAUCUACUUGGCGAAAAGAUAAUGUCUUGUGGGAUGGACCACUCCUUAAAACUUUGGCGAAUCAAUUCAGAGAGGAUGCAGAUAGCCAUCCGAGGGUCUUAUGAGUACAACCCCUCCAAGACCAACAGGCCUUUCGUUUCACAGAAAAUUCACUUCCCGGAUUUCUCAACACGAGACAUCCACAGGAACUACGUGGACUGUGUGCGGUGGCUCGGGGAUCUCAUUCUCUCCAAGGCAAG